AACUUAAGACUUCUGAAAACAAAUAAUGUUCAAAUGGUAACUGGUAAGCCAGAGAGCCUGCUGGUCAUCAAGGGAUCAGUUGGUACACAGAAAAGGAAGCCAGGUUAGCCAGGAGGUCAGACUACACAUACCAAUAAAUGGCUAAGGAAUAGGCAAAUAAUUAUACACCCUGUGUCUGAGCCAGUAGAUGGAAUAAUAUGCUGUGAUUAAAAUGAAUUUAUAAUAACAUGUAAAAAAUGUUCUUAAUAUAUUUAAACUAUUAGUAUAAUGCUUUAUACCCUAUAUCUUAGUGACAUACAGGAAGAAAAUACAGGCAGUAUGCACAUACAGUGCGUACUUCUUUUGUGGGGGUAGGGUUUUACUUAGUCCUCUGCUGAG
This 378-nucleotide long non-coding RNA is filed under the name Bos taurus (domestic cattle). RNAcentral describes it as "long non-coding RNA NONBTAT019550". Lineage: Eukaryota; Metazoa; Chordata; Mammalia; Artiodactyla; Bovidae. The record is from RNAcentral.